UUGGUACUCCCUCCGAUCCGUAUUAUUUGCCUUAUAUUUUUCUAGAUAUGAAUGUAUGUAACACUAAAACAUGUCUAAAUACAUCCGUCUCUACACAAAUAUAAGACAAGUAAUAUAUAUUGGAGGGAGUAUAUA
Non-coding RNA from Triticum aestivum (bread wheat), 135 nucleotides. Lineage: Eukaryota; Viridiplantae; Streptophyta; Magnoliopsida; Poales; Poaceae. The record is from Rfam.